UAACCAACCUUCUUUUU
Molecule: small RNA, 17 nt
Filed under: Arabidopsis thaliana (thale cress)
Lineage: Eukaryota; Viridiplantae; Streptophyta; Magnoliopsida; Brassicales; Brassicaceae
Description: ATSL009700
Source: RNAcentral